Molecule: ribosomal RNA, 629 nt
Filed under: uncultured soil bacterium
Lineage: Bacteria
Description: bacterial SSU rRNA
Rfam family: Bacterial small subunit ribosomal RNA
Source: RNAcentral
AAUCAACGCUGGCGGCGUGCCUCAGACAUGCAAGUCGAACGCGAAAGUUUCCUUCGGGGAGCAAGUAGAGUGGCGCACGGGUGAGUAACACGUAGGUAAUCUACCUUUGGAUUGGGAAUAACACCGAGAAAUCGGUGCUAAUACCGAAUAAUGCAGCGGCACCACAUGGUGACAGUUGUUAAAGCGGGGGAUUUUCGGACCUCGCGCCUGGAGAGGAGCCUGCGGCGGAUUAGCUAGUUGGUAGGGUAACGGCUUACCAAGGCGACGAUCCGUAACCGGCCUGAGAGGGCGGUCGGUCACACUGACACUGACAUACGGGUCAGACUCCUACGGGAGGCAGCAGUCGGGAAUUUUGGGCAAUGGGCGAAAGCCUGACCCAGCAACGCCGCGUGAAGGAUGAAAUCCCUCGGGAUGUAAACUUCGCAAGAAUGGGAAGAAUGAGCGAGCGCUAAUACCGUUCGUGAUGACGGUACCAUUUGUAAGCUCCGGCUAACUCCGUGCCAGCAGCCGCGGUAAUACGGGGGGAGCAAGCGUUGUUCGGAUUUACUGGGCGUAAAGGGCGCGUAUGCGGCCAGCGCAAGUCAGUUGUGAAAUCUCCGGGCUUAACUCGGAAAGGUCAACUGAUACUG